UAGUUGUGACAAAUCACAAGCGAACUAAUCAGAUUUUUCAUUAUUCGGUUAUGUAAUUGACACAGAACACUACUUUCCCAAUAAAAAUUUUCAGAGCUGCAUAACUUAAGUCCCGUUAUUCCUACGGUAGAGUGACCUACUCGUAGGGUAGCUGCGUGAGUGCGUGUCUACGUUGAUUGAUAUGUGUAUUAACAAUACGGAUGCAUUUGGUUUAGUGAGUAACUUUUAGAAUUAAUGUUUUAUUUGUAACUGAAUAUAAUGGAUGAUGGAAAACGAUGCAGGAAGCAUCAGAAUUCAGCAAAAGUCGCUAAGAAAAUGGGAAAAAGUAAAACACAACACCAGGAGGAACAACGUAAGGAAGGAACACAUCUUAAAGGGAGAAUAGAAAACUACGAUACUUUGAAACCCUGUAUGUCCGACAGAGAUGAGGGUGAUGGUGAAUCUGUGCCUGAUAGCCCCAGUGAAGAUAAAGUGUCACCUGUAGCAGAAAACGAUAAAAGCCAAAAAAAUUUUAAUGUCAGCAUAGAACUGGAUGUGAUGGCUGUAAUUUUGUUUGUUUGUGGUGUUGCUACACGAAUGUACAGGCUGGAAGAACCAAGGAGUAUAGUUUUUGAUGAGCUUCAUUAUGGGAAGUAUGUGAGCCUGUACAUGAAACGCAUUUUUUUCUUUGAUGCUCAUCCACCACUUGGAAAACAGCUAGUUGCUGUUGCAGCAUAUUUGGCUGGUUUUGAUGGAAACUUUAAGUUUGAUCGUAUUGGGCGAGAAUAUGAGGAUUCAGUACCUUUAUUUGCACUGAGAUUUGUACCUGCAUUGUGUGGCAGUCUCCUCAUGCCUGUCGUGUACCACCUGAUGAUUGAAAUGGGUGUGUCUCAUUGGACUGCAGCAUUAGCCGGCUUUUUGCUGUUGUGUGACAAUGCCUUACUGACACAGUCAAGGUUUAUCCUGAUGGAAUCAAUGCUGUUGCUGUUUGCUUUGUUUGGGCUUCUCUGUAUUCUGAAGUUUCGACACUACAGCACAGCCCCUUACUGUGUGCAAUGGUGGUUGUGGCUUGUUAUGGGUUCUGUCUCUCUCACAUGUGCCUUGUGUGUGAAGUAUGUGGGGUUCUUUUCAUGUUCUCUUGCAAUGGCAAUACUUGCACAAGAUUAUUGGAAGCUGCUUGGGAACAGGAAGCUGUCAGAUUCAGCAGUUGUGUUCCAGUUACUGGCCCGAUUAAUAGUCGUUAUUGGAGUGCCUGUGGCGAUAUAUCUUGGGAUAUUCUAUGCUCAUCUCUCAGUACUUACAUUAGCUGGACCACAUGACAGUGUAAUGUCAAGUGCCUUCCAGGCUAGUCUUGAGGGUGGCCUGGCAUCGAUAACCAGAGGACAGCCACUGGAAGUGGCACACGGUUCUCAGAUUACACUUCGUCACUCUCACGGAAGAACCUGCUGGCUGCACUCUCAUGCCCACGUGUAUCCAAUACGUUACCCAGACAAGCGUGGCAGCUCUCACCAGCAACAAGUUACUUGUUAUUCAUUCAAGGAUGUCAACAAUUGGUGGAUUGUAAAGCGUCCAUUAAGGAAUGACCUUGUGGUGUCACAGCCUGUAGAUGCCAUUCGACAUGGAGAUGUUAUUCAACUUGUCCAUGGAAUGACAAGUCGCGCUUUAAAUUCGCAUGAUGUUGCUGCUCCAAUGUCACCACAAAAUCAGGAAGUGAGCUGUUACAUCGAUUACAAUGUGUCUAUGCCUGCUCAGAACUUGUGGCGAGUAGAUAUUAUCAACAGAGAUCAAGUUGGGGAUGUCUGGCAUACGAUUGAGUCUCUAGUGCAUCUUAUCCAUGUGAAUUCGAGCCAAGCCUUGAAAUUUAGUGGACGUCAGUUACCAGACUGGGGCUUCAACCAACACGAAGUGGUCACAGACCGAGCCAUUCAUCAAGACGAUACUGUAUGGAAUGUCGAAGAACAUCGGUACACACAAACUGAGGAUCAGAAAGAUAGAGAGAGGGAACUCGUAAAUGCAGAAAUGAUACCUCUGCGAGCCACAACACUUUCCUUCUGGGAGAAGUUUCUCGAACUUCAAUACAAGAUGCUAUUCUCAGAUCAAGAAAAUGUUCAGAACCAUAUGUACAGCAGUGAACCACUUGAGUGGCCUUCGAUGACUAGAGGUAUCGCAUAUUGGGUGAGCCCGCACAGCAAUGUAAGUCCCUCUACAGGCUCAGGUGCAUCUACUUGGAAACCUUGUUGUGUGGUAUUCAGGCACUGUUAGUCUAUUACUUUAUGCCAUUUUCCUCUGUGUGUAUGUUUUACGAAGAAGACGUCAGUGCUAUGAUCUGAACAAAGAUGCGUGGCAUAAAUUUGUCACUAUUGGUGAAAUACUUCUUGUAGGUUAUCUGUUUCAUUAUAUACCAUUCUUCUUUGUGGAAAGGACACUUUUUCUGCAUCACUACUUACCUGCAUUUACCUUCAAAGUGCUAUUG
RNAcentral lists this unclassified non-coding RNA (2452 nucleotides) under Schistocerca americana (American grasshopper). RNAcentral describes it as "protein O-mannosyltransferase 1, transcript variant X3". The record is from RNAcentral. Lineage: Eukaryota; Metazoa; Arthropoda; Insecta; Orthoptera; Acrididae.